AGGAAAGAUGAUGAACUAGGAGGAGUGUGAAAUGUGGUUUAAUUUAAAGAACUACUUUUCUUAUUUCCAAACAUAUAUUCACAAAGAAAUUAAAAUAUAUACACACUAAAAUUCAUUUUUGUCUCUGCAUGUUUGCUUUCUACUCUUUAUAGUAACAUUUUAUUGCCAAGAAAAAUCUAAAUACUAUAAUUUUUUUCUCUUUUUUAAAAGUAAUACAUUGUUUGCUCUCUACAAUUUCCCAACAUCAUUGACUACAUUAAUGAAGCCUAAAUCUAGCAUCGUCUGGACACCAUAAUUGGCAUUACAGUUUUAUUCAGAUAAUGAUUCUUGCUUAUCAUGAGUUCAGAGAUUACUAGAGAAAAGAGCUGGGAUCAGUGUAACAUUCUGUAAAGCAAUAUGAACCUAGAUUAGUGACAUUGCACAUUAGGCCUUUGUUUUCCUUUGGGUUUCUGUGUGUGGUGACAGGAAGGCCCUCACCACUGCUGAAGAGGCCCUCCCAGGCCUGGCUGGGAGAAGACAGAACGGAACCUAACAGCCAUGUUCUCCUGCAAGUUGAGUCACUGCUUAGUGUGCCCCCAACUAACAAGCAUCUUCUCAGCCCAUUUGUGAAGAGCACUCAUCACACCUGCAAAACAAGUUCCAGGCAAAAGAGAUCCUCUCACCCCUUCCUGCUGAAGCGGAUAAAGCUGCCAGCCUUCAAGACUUGUUUCUGACCACCUGGGAACCUGACACAAGAGGUAGAGAGAAGUUAUUCUGCGAUCUGCAACUAGAACAAAACUAGGCAAGCUGUUUAAGACUAGCAAAACAUCUACUGGCUUUCCACACCUUCUCUCAGAAGCUGAAAUUCAAACUUAUAAUACUUAGAUAUAAAGGAGAGUCAAAGAUAACUUCUGUUAUCUACAACUACAUUGUUCCUAUGAAUGUCUUUCUUCAGUCUAAAGGACUUUCUACAACUACAGUCUCAUGAUUUGUCUUUUUUUCAGUUUUGAUUCUCCAAAAAGUCUUUAGGAGUCACAUAUUUCCUCAGAAUAAAUCUGGCAACUUUUUAUACA
This 1052-nucleotide long non-coding RNA is filed under the name Numida meleagris (helmeted guineafowl). RNAcentral describes it as "lncRNA (ENSNMEG00000001681.1)". The record is from RNAcentral. Lineage: Eukaryota; Metazoa; Chordata; Aves; Galliformes; Numididae.